RNAcentral lists this ribosomal RNA (746 nucleotides) under Didymella glomerata. RNAcentral's name for it is "partial large subunit ribosomal RNA". It matches the Rfam family "Eukaryotic large subunit ribosomal RNA", at positions 77 to 841 of the family's 3401-position model. The record is from RNAcentral. Lineage: Eukaryota; Fungi; Ascomycota; Dothideomycetes; Pleosporales; Didymellaceae.
GCCCUAGUAACGGCGAGUGAAGCGGCAACAGCUCAAAUUUGAAAUCUGGCGUCUUCGGCGUCCGAGUUGUAAUUUGCAGAGGGCGCUUUGGCAUUGGCAGCGGUCCAAGUUCCUUGGAACAGGACGUCACAGAGGGUGAGAAUCCCGUACGUGGUCGCUAGCCUUUACCGUGUAAAGCCCCUUCGACGAGUCGAGUUGUUUGGGAAUGCAGCUCUAAAUGGGAGGUAAAUUUCUUCUAAAGCUAAAUACUGGCCAGAGACCGAUAGCGCACAAGUAGAGUGAUCGAAAGAUGAAAAGCACUUUGGAAAGAGAGUUAAAAAGCACGUGAAAUUGUUGAAAGGGAAGCGCUUGCAGCCAGACUUGCCUGUAGUUGCUCAUCCGGGUUUUUACCCGGUGCACUCUUCUAUAGGCAGGCCAGCAUCAGUUUGGGCGGUUGGAUAAAGGUCUCUGUCAUGUACCUCUCUUCGGGGAGAACUUAUAGGGGAGACGACAUGCAACCAGCCUGGACUGAGGUCCGCGCAUCUGCUAGGAUGCUGGCGUAAUGGCUGUAAGCGGCCCGUCUUGAAACACGGACCAAGGAGUCUAACAUCUAUGCGAGUGUUUGGGUGUCAAGCCCGAGCGCGUAAUGAAAGUGAACGGAGGUGGGAACCUUUCGGGGUGCACCAUCGACCGAUCCUGAUGUCUUCGGAUGGAUUUGAGUAAGAGCAUAGCUGUUGGGACCCGAAAGAUGGUGAACUAUGCUUGAA